RNAcentral lists this small nucleolar RNA (138 nucleotides) under Ornithorhynchus anatinus (platypus). The record is from RNAcentral. Lineage: Eukaryota; Metazoa; Chordata; Mammalia; Monotremata; Ornithorhynchidae.
CCCCUCUCAGGGUUGCACCUGGAGAAUUUGCAUUACUCUACCACUUUCAACUACAGGAGGGAGAGUCAAGCAGAGGCCUGUCCAUUCCAUUCCUAGCAUGGACAGUGGCUAGGUAGUGGAAGACAAUCUGCUACAAGU